AAGUCGUAACAAGGUCUCCGUAGGUGAACCUGCGGAGGGAUCAUUAACACGUGAAUAACGUAACUAUAUAACAAACAAUGUGAAUAAAAUGUAAUAUAUAUAGUAAAAUAUAUAUAUUAUCACCUCUACCUAUACAUUACAGACUGUAAUCAAUAUACUAUUGUGAUUGGUUAUUAUAGUAAAAUAUAAUAACAGUAUAUGAUUGCUCGAGUUUAAUCUCACAUGGUUUGUUUUGUUAUAGGCUUUUAUCCCUAUAGCUCAAUCAUACUAGAAAAAACCACUAUCACUCUAAUUUAUAAACAUCUGACUGAAACAUAAACUAAGUGUACUAUAAUCUAAUUAUAAUCACUAAGUUGAUAUCUAUUAAACUAAAAGCACAACUCUUAGCAACGGAUAUCUUGGUUCUC
Molecule: unclassified non-coding RNA, 407 nt
Filed under: fungal sp.
Lineage: Eukaryota; Fungi
Description: partial internal transcribed spacer region
Rfam family: Eukaryotic small subunit ribosomal RNA (bases 1-46)
Source: RNAcentral